RNAcentral lists this ribosomal RNA (301 nucleotides) under uncultured bacterium. RNAcentral describes it as "partial 16S ribosomal RNA". It matches the Rfam family "Bacterial small subunit ribosomal RNA", at positions 509 to 807 of the family's 1533-position model. The record is from RNAcentral.
CAGUAGCCGCGGGAAUACGAAGGGUGCAAGCGUUACUCGGAAUUACUGGGCGUAAAGCGUGCGUAGGCGGCUAAUUGAGUCGGAUGUGAAAUCCCCGAGCUUAACUUGGGAAUUGCAUUCGAUACUGGUUAGCUAGAGUGUGGGAGAGGAUGGUAGAAUUCCAGGUGUAGCGGUGAAAUGCGUAGAGAUCUGGAGGAAUACCGAUGGCGAAGGCAGCCAUCUGGCCUAACACUGACGCUGAGGUACGAAAGCAUGGGGAGCAAACAGGAUUAGAUACCCCUGUAGUCCCUGUCUCUUAUAC